UGGGGAAUAUUGGACAAUGGGGGCAACCCUGAUCCAGCAAUGCCGCGUGAGUGAAGAAGGCCUUCGGGUUGUAAAGCUCUUUAGCCGACGAAUAUAAUGACUGUAGUCGGAGAAUAAGCCCCGGCUAACUUCGUGCCAGCAGCCGCGGUAAUACGAAGGGGGCGAGCGUUAUUCGGAAUCACUGGGCGUAAAGCGUGCGUAGGCUGCUUUGUAAGUCAGAAGUGAAAGCCCAGGGCUUAACCCUGGAAUUGCUUUUGAAACUACAAGGCUCGAAUUCGGGAGAGGAUAGCGGAAUUGUCAGUGUAGCAGUGAAAUGCGUAGAUAUUGACAGGAACACCAGUGGCGAAGGCGGCUCACUGGCUCGAUACUGACGCUGAGGUGCGAAAGCGUGGGGAUCGAACAGGAUUAGAUACC
RNAcentral lists this ribosomal RNA (414 nucleotides) under uncultured bacterium. RNAcentral's name for it is "bacterial SSU rRNA". It matches the Rfam family "Bacterial small subunit ribosomal RNA", at positions 355 to 786 of the family's 1533-position model. The record is from RNAcentral.